Molecule: long non-coding RNA, 626 nt
Filed under: Felis catus (domestic cat)
Lineage: Eukaryota; Metazoa; Chordata; Mammalia; Carnivora; Felidae
Description: lncRNA (ENSFCAG00000040979.2)
Source: RNAcentral
UCUCGGUACAAGAAGUGAUGCAUUUAAAGAGUUCAAGGUACCAGCGAUGCUUCCCUGCGACCCAACGAGGGGACCCGUCAGUUCACCGCGUGUUUGACCUCUGCCUGAAUUCUGCCGCCCUUGUAGAAGUCAAUGUGUGGUCUGGAGACCACCUAUUUGAGAAUCACCUGGAGCCUCACCCUGCAGAUCCUGAUUUCUGAGCCUGGAGAGGUUGCCCUUAAAGAAGGCUUCUAGAUGAUUCUGCACAUUGAAGUCUGAGCAUCACUGUCCUAGUGCCUGCCAUCCUGUCUGGUGCAUGCACAGCCCUGAUAGAUGACUGGGCAGAAAGCGUCUGUUCAUUGACUGUUUGUUUUUUUUAAUGUAUGUGUUUAUGGAGAGCCUGACGCGGGGCUGGAACCCACAGACCGCGAGAUCAUGACCUGAGCCGAAGUCGGACGCUCAACCAACUGAGCCACCCAGGCACCCCUUGACUCUUUUUCAAUUCUGUUAUUAUUUUUUAAAGCCACUGGCUCUGUGUGUUACAAAAAGUCACGAUUUCAGCCUUUAAUCCUGCGAGGGGACUUGGCAAAAUUUACCACCGAUCCAGGCGCAGUGCUGCUGGCUUCCUCCAGAGAAACGCACCCCCA